GAUUUCUGGACUGAAGCAUUUAGCCGGCCGCGGUUUCGCGUGUUAGUGCUGGAUGCUCUGUCCAUCCUUCCAAUCGCUAUUGGCUAUUCUUCAUUGAAUGGUCAGUAGUAUUGGAUCUUUUACUUUGAAAAAAUUAGAGUGUUUCAAGCAGGCUUUAUGCUAUGAAUACAUUAGCAUGGAAUAAUAAUUUAGGACUUUGGCCCUAUUUUGUUGGUUUCUAGGACUGAAGUAAUGAUUGAUAGGGAUAGUUGGGGGUGCUCGAAUUCAGCGGCCAGAGGUGAAAUUCUUGGAUUCGCUGAAGACGAACUCAUGCGAAAGCAUU
This 322-nucleotide ribosomal RNA is filed under the name Sandona sp. RNAcentral's name for it is "SSU rRNA". The stretch from base 110 to 322 matches the Rfam family "Eukaryotic small subunit ribosomal RNA", at positions 742 to 955 of the family's 1831-position model. Lineage: Eukaryota; Cercozoa; Glissomonadida; Sandonidae. The record is from RNAcentral.